CUGACCGUUGGGGCCGGGGGCUUCUUUCCUUUCCCGGCCCUAACUCGGUGGGACCUGGCAUGGCUUUGUAGCUGGGCCAGGAUGCUGAGUUAACACUGCGCCCCCCCCACACACACACUGCCAGGGGGAGAAAAACGGCAGCGUGGUGCCCGAUCGGCCAGCCAGAGGGCUGCAGUCGGUGGGCAGACACGGCGCUGGAGCAGAGCCAGCACAAGCUGAGGGGUGCAGGAGUGGGCCAGGCUGAUUAGCCAUGAUCCUUGGAGAGGCAGCUGCAGCACACAGCCAUGGAGUGGCCCGGGACAAGUCGAAGCGGCAGCUAGAACCCUGAGGCGGAGGCAGCCACGAAGCAAACCUCUGCAGAGGAGUAGCCCGAGCUCCCGCAGCAGCUCGAAGCAGAAAGGCCCCCUGCGAAGGGGCAGCAGGAACAGAACAAAACAGACGGAGAGAGAGGUCUGCUGGAACGUUUUCGGGGUUGUGGUUGGAUAUGUACAGUCUGAGGCAAGUUAACUGCAUCACUAGAGGCUUCUGAAGGCUGACAAGUGAAAGCAAAACAUCGGAGAAUCUACUUCGCAGCUUAUCAUCAGGAUCAUACAACAUCCAUUAUCAAAUAAUAUUAAUGUUGUGCAUGCCUUGGGGAAGUGUGGAGAAACUCAAGGGAAAUUUAAGACACAAUUACUUUUGCACCAAAAUGCUACACAUCCAGAAAAGCUUAUCAGAUAGGUCAGCAUUUUUCCUACACUUUCUUCAUCCAGCUACAAUGAAAAGAUUUGCUUGCCAAUAUAGACAUAUGGUCAAGGAGCUGAGUAGGAAAAAUUUACAGUACAAGUUCACUAGCAAAACAGAUAAGAGACUUGCCCAUCUAUCAUUUUUAUCUUAGAGAGAAGUCCACUUUGUUGUUAUUCAGCAUAAGAACUGCAGUCUUUGGUCAGAGAAUCCAGCUGCACUAAGGGAAUGCAGCUGUCCUGAUUGUUUUUUUUCCUCAUCCUUUCCUCCCAAAUUAAAAAAUAAAGGACAUUAUUCAUGC
This is a long non-coding RNA of Pipra filicauda (Wire-tailed manakin), 1024 nucleotides long. RefSeq lists it as uncharacterized. Lineage: Eukaryota; Metazoa; Chordata; Aves; Passeriformes; Pipridae. The transcript has 2 exons. The record is from RefSeq and is a predicted model, not a curated record.